RNAcentral lists this ribosomal RNA (253 nucleotides) under uncultured bacterium. Its description in RNAcentral is "partial 16S ribosomal RNA". It matches the Rfam family "Bacterial small subunit ribosomal RNA", at positions 524 to 776 of the family's 1533-position model. The record is from RNAcentral.
UACGUAGGGUGCAAGCGUUAAUCGGAAUUACUGGGCGUAAAGCGUGCGUAGGCGGCUAUGUAAGACAGAUGUGAAAUCCCUGGGCUUAACCUAGGAACUACAUUUGUGACUGCAUUGCUAGAGUGUGGUAGAGGGAGAUGGAAUUCCGCAUGUAGCAGUGAAAUGCGUAGAUAUGCGGAGGAACACCAAUGGCGAAGGCAAUCUCCUGGACCUGCACUGACGCUCAUGCACGAAAGCGUGGGGAGCAAACAGG